This 301-nucleotide ribosomal RNA is filed under the name uncultured bacterium. RNAcentral's name for it is "partial 16S ribosomal RNA". It matches the Rfam family "Bacterial small subunit ribosomal RNA", at positions 509 to 807 of the family's 1533-position model. The record is from RNAcentral.
CAGUCGCCGCGGUAAUACGUAGGUGGCAAGCGUUGUCCGGAAUUAUUGGGCGUAGAGCGCGCGCAGGUGGUUUAAUAAGUCUGAUGUGAAAGCCCACGGCUCAACCGUGGAGGGUCAUUGGAAACUGUUAGACUUGAGUGCAGGAGGGAAAAGUGGAAUUCCUAGUGUAGCGGUGAAAUGCGUAGAGAUUAGGAGGAACACCAGUGGCGAAGGCGGCUUUUUGGCCUGUAACUGACACUGAGGCGCGAAAGCGUGGGGAGCAAACAGGAUUAGAUACCCCAGUAGUCCCUGUCUCUUAUAC